GACCACGUAGCUCAGUUGGCAGAGCAUUGGGCUAGUAUUCCAAAGGUCGUAGGUUUGAUUCCCACCGUGGCCG
Molecule: non-coding RNA, 73 nt
Organism: Paramuricea clavata
Lineage: Eukaryota; Metazoa; Cnidaria; Anthozoa; Malacalcyonacea; Plexauridae
Source: the annotation of a GenBank genome assembly